This 359-nucleotide ribosomal RNA is filed under the name Salmonella enterica subsp. enterica serovar Agona str. 246555-3. Its description in RNAcentral is "bacterial LSU rRNA". It matches the Rfam family "Bacterial large subunit ribosomal RNA", at positions 1 to 395 of the family's 2925-position model. Lineage: Bacteria; Pseudomonadati; Pseudomonadota; Gammaproteobacteria; Enterobacterales; Enterobacteriaceae. The record is from RNAcentral.
GGUUAAGCGACUAAGCGUACACGGUGGAUGCCCUGGCAGUCAGAGGCGAUGAAGGGCGUGCUAAUCUGCGAUAAGCGCCGGUAAGGUGAUAUGAACCGUUAUAACCGGCGAUACCCGAAUGGGGAAACCCAGUGUGACUCGUCACACUAUCAUUAACUGAAUCCAUAGGUUAAUGAGGCGAACCGGGGGAACUGAAACAUCUAAGUACCCCGAGGAAAAGAAAUCAACCGAGAUUCCCCCAGUAGCGGCGAGCGAACGGGGAGGAGCCCAGAGCCUGAAUCAGCAUGUGUGUUAGUGGAAGCGUCUGGAAAGGCGCGCGAUACAGGGUGACAGCCCCGUACACAAAAGCGACAUGUGCU